UUGAUUGCCUAAACAGGGUAGUCAAACGUCACUUGAAAAGGCUUCCAGCUUGUGUUCCAAAAGCACCCAGGUCUCCCAGAGGUCCUGUUUCAGACCUGUCAGUCUCAUGUAGACGUUUGGAUACUGCAGCAGCAGAUCUCUGUCCUCAGGCAAUGAGAUCAAGCCCAAAGCGUGACAAGAUAAUGACAAGAGACAUUUUAACAACUGCACAAGUAAAGAGAGAUCUGGGAAGAUGGUGCGUGAAGCUGCAUGAAGAAUCCAGACCUAUACAAAUUCAAGCAUGUGUAUGUACAUUGUACUUCUGAUGGUCACAUGAUAAAAGGAGCUGUAAAAGAAAAUGAGAUAAGAGCGCUGGGACACCUCCAAGCACACCACUCAGCUUUCAACACUGGCACUUCUGAGCCCAUUCUUACACCCUGGUAAGAUGAUUAAUGUACCUUGGAAAAUCACCUAAUGGUUUGAUACGCUUUCUAUGUGGCCUCUUCUAGGAGAAAAACAGGAUAAUGUGAGAUGUAAUUUAUGGGUAUGAGGUGGGGGAGCAGAGACAGAGAAGCUCAUUCAGAAGUAUUGACAGGAUAUCUGUAGUGCUUGAGAACCACAAAGCAGAAUUUAAAAGCAUUUGUGAGAUAGAGUGAUAUUGGAAGAGAUCCCAAAUACAUGGAGACACCUGGCUGAUAAGGAU
Molecule: long non-coding RNA, 682 nt
Filed under: Calidris pugnax (ruff)
Lineage: Eukaryota; Metazoa; Chordata; Aves; Charadriiformes; Scolopacidae
Description: lncRNA (ENSCPUG00000010065.1)
Source: RNAcentral